GGAGUUGUGGCUCAGUGGUAAGAGCACUUGCCUAGCAUGUGUGAGGCCCUGGGUUCGAUUCUCAGCACCA
RNAcentral lists this transfer RNA (70 nucleotides) under Marmota marmota marmota (Alpine marmot). It matches the Rfam family "tRNA". Rfam says of the family: Transfer RNA (tRNA) molecules are approximately 80 nucleotides in length. Their secondary structure includes four short double-helical elements and three loops (D, anti-codon, and T loops). Further hydrogen bonds mediate the characteristic L-shaped molecular structure. tRNAs have two regions of fundamental functional importance: the anti-codon, which is responsible for specific mRNA codon recognition, and the 3' end, to which the tRNAs corresponding amino acid is attached (by aminoacyl-tRNA synthetases). tRNAs cope with the degeneracy of the genetic code in two manners: having more than one tRNA (with a specific anti-codon) for a particular amino acid; and 'wobble' base-pairing, i.e. permitting non-standard base-pairing at the 3rd anti-codon position. Lineage: Eukaryota; Metazoa; Chordata; Mammalia; Rodentia; Sciuridae. The record is from Rfam by way of RNAcentral. RNAcentral also lists the same sequence under 3 other names.